UACGGGGGGCGCAAGCGUUGUUCGGAUUUACUGGGCGUAAAGGGCGCGUAGGCGGUCGUGACAAGUCACUUGUGAAAUCUCCGGGCUUAACUCGGAACGGUCAAGUGAUACUGUCGGACUAGAGUACAGAAGGGGCAACUGGAAUUCUCGGUGUAGCGGUGAAAUGCGUAGAUAUCGAGAGGAACACCUGCGGCGAAGGCGGGUUGCUGGGCUGAUACUGACGCUGAGGCGCGAAAGCAUGGGGAGCGAACGGG
RNAcentral lists this ribosomal RNA (254 nucleotides) under uncultured bacterium. Its description in RNAcentral is "partial 16S ribosomal RNA". It matches the Rfam family "Bacterial small subunit ribosomal RNA", at positions 524 to 776 of the family's 1533-position model. The record is from RNAcentral.